UUUCCGUAGGUGAACCUGCGGAAGGAUCAUUAUUGUAAAACCGAGGUGCGAGGGCUGUCGCUGACCCGAAAGGUCGUGCACGCCCGAGUGCCCUCACACACAUCCAUCUCACCCCUAUGUGCACCACCGCGUGGGUCCCCCUUUGGCUUGUUCGGAGGGGGGCUUACGUUUUCACACAAACUUUGUAUGCAGUGUAGAAUGUAUUUUUUGUUUUUGCGAUCACGCAAUCAAUACAACUUUCAACAACGGAUCUCUUGGCUCUC
Molecule: unclassified non-coding RNA, 263 nt
Filed under: plant metagenome
Description: partial contains small subunit ribosomal RNA, internal transcribed spacer 1, and 5.8S ribosomal RNA
Source: RNAcentral